RNAcentral lists this ribosomal RNA (408 nucleotides) under uncultured bacterium. Its description in RNAcentral is "partial 16S ribosomal RNA". It matches the Rfam family "Bacterial small subunit ribosomal RNA", at positions 28 to 526 of the family's 1533-position model. The record is from RNAcentral.
GACGAACGCUGGCGGCGUGCUUAACACAUGCAAGUCGAACGAAGUGGCGAACGGGUGAGUAACGCGUAAUCAACCUGCCCUUCAGAGGGGGACAACAGUUGGAAACGACUGCUAAUACCGCAUACUGAAGGAGGGGAUUGCGUGUGAUUAGCUAGUUGGAGGGGUAACGGCCCAACAAGGCGAUGAUCAGUCAGCGGUCGUGGAGGAUGGACGGCCACAAUGGGACUGGUACACGGCCCAGACCCCUGCGGGAGGCAGCAGUGGGGGAUCUUCCGCAAUGGACGAAAGUCUGACGGAGCAACGCCGCGUGGGUGAUGACGGCCUUCGGGUUGUAAAGCUCUGUUAAUCGGGACGCGGUACCGGAAUAGAAAGCCACGGCUAACUACGUGCCAGCAGCCGCGGUAAUAC